Molecule: ribosomal RNA, 397 nt
Filed under: uncultured bacterium
Lineage: Bacteria
Description: partial 16S ribosomal RNA
Rfam family: Bacterial small subunit ribosomal RNA
Source: RNAcentral
AUACGUAGGGGGCGAGCGUUGUCCGGAAUGAUUGGGCGUAAAGGGCGCGUAGGCGGCCCGGUAAGUCUGGAGUGAAAGUCCUGUUUUUAAGAUGGGAAUUGCUUUGGAUACUGUCGGGCUUGAGUGCAGGAGAGGUAAGUGGAAUUCCCAGUGUAGCGGUGAAAUGCGUAGAGAUUGGGGGGAACACCAGUGGCGAAGGCGACUUACACGACUAGAACUGGAGCUGACGCUCGAAAGGGUGCGGACAAAACAGGAUUUGAUACAAUGGUAGGCCACGCUGUAAACGAUGAUUGCUCGGUGGAGGUAAUAACAAGCCCGUCUGUGCCGCAGGCAAAACAAUAAGCAUUACGGCUUGGGAGUACGGCAGCAAGGCUGAAGCUCAAAGGAAUUAACGGGG